GGGUCAGUAGGUUGGUCGUGCCACCGGUACGUACUGGUCUCACUGAUUCCUCCUUCCUGAAGAAUCGUAAUGCCAUUAAUUUGGUGUUGCGGGGAAACAGGACUGUUACUUUGAAAAAAUUAGAGUGUUUAAAGCAAGCUAAUGCUUGAAUACAUUAGCAUGGAAUAAUGAAAUAGGACGAUCGAUCCUAUUUUGUUGGUUUCUAGGAUUGACGUA
RNAcentral lists this ribosomal RNA (216 nucleotides) under Glomeromycotina sp. RNAcentral describes it as "partial small subunit ribosomal RNA". The stretch from base 40 to 216 matches the Rfam family "Eukaryotic small subunit ribosomal RNA", at positions 686 to 864 of the family's 1831-position model. The record is from RNAcentral. Lineage: Eukaryota; Fungi; Glomeromycota.